RNAcentral lists this ribosomal RNA (390 nucleotides) under uncultured bacterium. RNAcentral describes it as "bacterial SSU rRNA". It matches the Rfam family "Bacterial small subunit ribosomal RNA", at positions 30 to 417 of the family's 1533-position model. The record is from RNAcentral.
AUUGAACGCUGGCGGCAGGCCUAACACAUGCAAGUCGAGCGGUAGAGAGGUGCUUGCAUCUCUUGAGAGCGGCGGACGGGUGAGUAAUGCCUAGGAAUCUGCCUAGUGGUGGGGGAUAACGUUCGGAAACGGACGCUAAUACCGCAUACGUCCUACGGGAGAAAGCGGGGGAUCUUCGGACCUCGCGCCAUUAGAUGAGCCUAGGUCGGAUUAGCUAGUUGGUGAGGUAAUGGCCCACCAAGCCGACGAUCUGUAGCUGGUCUGAGAGGACGACCAGCCACACUGGGACUGAGACACGGCCCAGACUCCUACGGGAGGCAGCAGUGGGGGAAUUUUUGGACAAUGGGCGCAAGCCUGAUCCAGCAAUGCCGCCGUGCAGGAUGAAGGCCU